AAGGGUUGGCAUAAGUUUGUGAAAGCCGGAGAUUUAGGAGUAAAGUACAAUUAUUUUCGCAAAUAAUUGUAUCUUUUGCUCUUAAACCUUUAGCUUUAACAAAUUUGUGCCAACCCUUUG
This 120-nucleotide microRNA precursor is filed under the name Solanum lycopersicum (tomato). Its description in RNAcentral is "miR10535a stem-loop (sly-MIR10535a)". The record is from miRBase by way of RNAcentral. Lineage: Eukaryota; Viridiplantae; Streptophyta; Magnoliopsida; Solanales; Solanaceae.